This 492-nucleotide ribosomal RNA is filed under the name uncultured bacterium. Its description in RNAcentral is "partial 16S ribosomal RNA". It matches the Rfam family "Bacterial small subunit ribosomal RNA", at positions 29 to 507 of the family's 1533-position model. The record is from RNAcentral.
AGUGAACGCUGGCGGUAGGCCUAACACAUGCAAGUCGAACGGCAGCACAGUAAGAGCUUGCUCUUACGGGUGGCGAGUGGCGGACGGGUGAGGAAUACAUCGGAAUCUACUUUUUCGUGGGGGAUAACGUAGGGAAACUUACGCUAAUACCGCAUACGACCUACGGGUGAAAGCAGGGGAUCUUCGGACCUUGCGCGAUUGAAUGAGCCGAUGUCGGAUUAGCUAGUUGGCGGGGUAAAGGCCCACCAAGGCGACGAUCCGUAGCUGGUCUGAGAGGAUGAUCAGCCACACUGGAACUGAGACACGGUCCAGACUCCUGCGGGAGGCAGCAGUGGGGAAUAUUGGACAAUGGGCGCAAGCCUGAUCCAGCCAUACCGCGUGGGUGAAGAAGGCCUUCGGGUUGUAAAGCCCUUUUGUUGGGAAAGAGAAGCAGCAGGUUAAUACCCCGCUGUUCUGACGGUACCCAAAGAAUAAGCACCGGCUAACUUCGUG